RNAcentral lists this ribosomal RNA (759 nucleotides) under Triticum aestivum (bread wheat). RNAcentral describes it as "partial small subunit ribosomal RNA". Lineage: Eukaryota; Viridiplantae; Streptophyta; Magnoliopsida; Poales; Poaceae. The record is from RNAcentral.
AUGGUUAGGAGUGUACCGAUUGGUGAGAAGCUCUUCAUAGGAGGAGACCUCAAUGGCCACGUGGGUACAUCUAACACAGGUUUUGAAGGGGCGCAUGGGGGCUUUGGCUAUGGCAUCAGGAAUCAAGGAGGAGAAUAUGUCUUAAGCUUUGCUCUAGCCUACAACAUGAUUGUAGCUAACACCCUCUUUAGAAAGAGAGAAUCACAUCUGGUGACUUUUAGUAGUGGCCAACACUCUAGCCAGAUUGAUUUCAUCCUCUCGAGAAGAGAAGAUAGGCGUGCGUGCCUAUACUGUAAGGUGAUACCUGGAGAGAGUGUUGUACCCCAGCAUAAGCUGGUGGUUGCUGACUUCCGCUUUUGGAUUCGUGUCCAGCGGAAUAAGCAUGUCAAAGUCGUUAGAACGAAGUGGUGGAAGCUCAAGGGGGAGGUAGCUCAGGCGUUCAAGGAGAGGGUCAUUAAGGAGGGCCCUUGGGAGGAAGGAGGGGAUGCGGACAAUGUGUGGAUGAACAUGGCGACUUGCAUCCGUAAGGUGGCCUCGGAGGAGUUUGGAGUGUCCAGGGGAAGGAGAAGCGAAGAUAAGGAUACCUGGUGGUGGAAUGAUGAGGUCCAGAAGGCGAUCAAAGAGAAGAAAGAUUGCUUCAGAUGCCUAUACCUGGAUAGGAGUGCAGACAACAUAGAGAAGUACAAGAUGGCGAAGACGCAAAGCGAGCUGUUGGUGAAGCAAGGGAUCGGGCAUAUGAGGACCUCUACCAACGGUUAG